CUGCUUUCUCUCUCUCUCUCUCUCUCUCUCUCUCAGUUCGAAACUUUUCGAAUUUUUAGUUGAAAUUAUAACUGAUACUGCUGCGAUUUAUGAAUGAAGAUUGAACUAGUUCUAAGCAAGAAUUCAGGGGAAAUAUGUUAGAUUUACAGUUUCAAGACUUGAGAGUAAUCAUGUUUUUAAGUGGAUUUAUUUGCUAUGAUGCGAGCUGGAAAUAAAGUAGAGGGCCUUUUAACAAUAUCAUUCAAGUUUUGUAACCCUAAUUUUCUGAUAAGGAAAUUGAUUUAACAAAUAUGCUUACCAGUUAGAAGUUGGAACUGUUCAUAUAGCGGCCUAAUUCAUGUCGAUGGAAGAUAGUAGCAUUAACCAAUUUUGAUUGCUUCGACUGUCCCCCGGUUCUUAUAUAGCCGCCAGGUUCGUCCAGUUUUUAUUCCACUUAUCUUGAAAUUGGAAGCUGAAAACGAUGUUUUCAUGACUUGAAAUCACAAGAUUCGUUGGUCAGGUCUUAUCAACUUUGCUGAAAAUGAUGUGUUGAUU
Molecule: long non-coding RNA, 534 nt
Filed under: Gossypium barbadense (sea-island cotton)
Lineage: Eukaryota; Viridiplantae; Streptophyta; Magnoliopsida; Malvales; Malvaceae
Description: long non-coding RNA (GBAR_LNC015784)
Source: RNAcentral